GAUGAACGCUAGCUACAGGCUUAACACAUGCAAGUCGAGGGGAAACGGCAUUAAGUGCUUGCACUUUUUGGACGUCGACCGGCGCACGGGUGAGCAACGCGUAUCCAACCUUCCCAUGACUAAGGGAUAACCUGCCGAAAGGCAGACUAAUACCUUAUGGUCUUCACUGACGGCAUCAGAUGUGAAGUAAAGAUUUAUCGGUUAUGGAUGGGGAUGCGUCUGAUUAGCUUGUUGGCGGGGUAACGGCCCACCAAGGCAACGAUCAGUAGGGGUUCUGAGAGGAAGGUCCCCCACAUUGGAACUGAGACACGGUCCAAACUCCUACGGGAGGCAGCAGUGAGGAAUAUUGGUCAAUGGGCGAGAGCCUGAACCAGCCAAGUAGCGUGCAGGAUGACGGCCCUAUGGGUUGUAAACUGCUUUUGUAUGGGGAUAAAGUCAAUCACGUGUGAUUGUUUGCAGGUACCAUACGAAUAAGGACCGGCUAAUUCCGUG
RNAcentral lists this ribosomal RNA (492 nucleotides) under uncultured bacterium. RNAcentral's name for it is "partial 16S ribosomal RNA". It matches the Rfam family "Bacterial small subunit ribosomal RNA", at positions 28 to 507 of the family's 1533-position model. The record is from RNAcentral.